RNAcentral lists this non-coding RNA (278 nucleotides) under Clostridium autoethanogenum. Its description in RNAcentral is "T-box sequence". It matches the Rfam family "T-box leader". From Rfam's summary of the family: Uncharged tRNA acts as the effector for transcription antitermination of genes in the T-box leader family. T-boxes are found upstream of many aminoacyl-tRNA synthetase genes and some amino acid biosynthetic genes usually in Gram-positive bacteria. Lineage: Bacteria; Bacillati; Bacillota; Clostridia; Eubacteriales; Clostridiaceae. The record is from RNAcentral.
AGAAAAGUGAUGAUGGAGAUAAGUAAAAAAAAUAUUUCACCAACAGUGAACUGGAGAUAGUGUGAAUCCAGUGGCAGAGUUUUUUUGAAUAACACUCCGGAGUUGCAAACUGAAAUAUUUGUAAACUGUACCUUAAACUAAAUGUUUGAGAUAGGUUCAAAUUAAAGUAGGAGCGUCGUAUUCCAUGCGUUAUUUGGAUACCAGUAGUAGCUGGAAGGAGACCAUUAUUAUAUGGUAAAUUAGGUGGCACCGCGGAUAAGCAUCAAUUCGUCCUAUUG